RNAcentral lists this ribosomal RNA (321 nucleotides) under Triticum aestivum (bread wheat). RNAcentral's name for it is "partial small subunit ribosomal RNA". Lineage: Eukaryota; Viridiplantae; Streptophyta; Magnoliopsida; Poales; Poaceae. The record is from RNAcentral.
AUGGAAGUGACCUACCUAACCUUAAGAUUUGACACCAGAUGCCUUCCUGCUGUAAACGGAUAUUCUUUCUGCGUUCGAAAUUCUUCUGGUGCCUUGUCAAUUACUCCAGCAACAUCAGGUCACCCUCCAGUAACAAACAAUUGCAAACAUGAUGUGGUCAGUUGUUCUGUAUUCCAGUUGAUAUCUCCAGCAACAUCAGGCUUUCCUCUUUUCAUCCAUCCAUUCAUUAAAGAGAGAGAACGGAAAGGAAAUACGGCUCCAAGCAAAUUAUAUUCCCAUCAAGACCCCAGGAGAGGACACUCGACUAAACAAUGUGCUUGA